Molecule: long non-coding RNA, 1073 nt
Organism: Oncorhynchus mykiss (rainbow trout)
Lineage: Eukaryota; Metazoa; Chordata; Actinopteri; Salmoniformes; Salmonidae
Source: RefSeq, a predicted model, not a curated record
GCGAGCCAAAUGAACGGUUCUUUCACAAGUGAUUCGGUUCCGAAAAGAUCCGUUCAAAAAUAGCCAUUUGUUCGCGAACCGACCCAUCACUAUCUUGUAGCCUACAGAUACAUAACCAGUACAAUUGGAUUUGCUCAACUCCUGCGCAAUUUCUUCCGUCCUUUUGAAAAAGGUACAAGUUAAAACAGGAUAGGCGGCGAGGAAAGGGAACGUGGAUGAAAAUGCGCUUGUAUGAGGGCCGUACGCUAGUGGACGGGUCCGUUGGCACGGCGUGUGCAGCGGUGGAAAAGAACAGAAUUUCCCAACUUCGUGCAAAUCACAAGCGGCAAACGCUGGCCAAUGACCAAUCAUGUGGAGUGAUUCCUAUCAUGAAUAUUACGCUCUGAGACUCAACGCUGGAGAGUUUCCCCAGAAAAGAUGGCUGACAAAAAUACUAGUGUGGACAGGUCUCCUGAGAAAACCAUCAAACCAGGCUGUCGUCUUGUGAAACAGUGGAUGUAAAGAAUCUAGCUAGCUAAAGCAUUUACUGCAAAAUUGAAUGGACAAUUUUGUAAGCUGGCCUUGCUGAUAUUUUCCAUGCAAUGCAGUUGAAGUAAUGUAGUUAGCUAACUCUUUUCUUGCUUUUUGUGUAGUGGAGGAUAACAAUAAUUAUGCCUAUGGAUGUGUAGCUAGCUAUGUAGCCGAUCUGUGUAUGGAACCUAAAAUGUUUGCUAUAAAUAUUAGUUCAGAACAGUGUUUUUAAUUGCUUCCACCAUUUAAUCAUUAAUCCCCAAUAAAUAUGCACAUGAUUGUUAAAUGUCAAUAGUACAAUGUCAAUAUUAAAUAGCUAGCUACGAACCUAGGUAUGAACCUCAGCUAUCAUAGCUGGUUGUAUUGACUUCAAGACACUCUGAAAAGCAUCAAUGAAGUCUAUUGAUUGAGUAAAAUGUAAUAACUUUGUGCCAAGGAUGCAAGUUGUACUGUAAAUACAUGUAGUUAUUACCAAGCAUGAGUUUCUGACAUUGUAGCCUGUACAUUUAAUAUAUUCACUGAUCGUGUACUCUACUUUGGCAAAUAAAGGUACAGGUCAUGUA